UUGGGGAGGCCAGACUGCACUUGCCUGGCUCCCUGUAUGCCAACUGAGGAGCUCCUCAGAGACCUUGACAGGCUCCGUAGCUGGCAUUCAGGGGGCCAUGCAGGAGAAGUCGCUACCUCCCGCAA
Non-coding RNA from Marchantia polymorpha subsp. ruderalis, 125 nucleotides. The record is from the annotation of a GenBank genome assembly. Lineage: Eukaryota; Viridiplantae; Streptophyta; Marchantiopsida; Marchantiales; Marchantiaceae.